UUAGAAAACAUGCCGAGUGACGUGCUCACAAACUGACAAUUAUUCAAAUGGGAAACGUUUCCACCCGGCGCACCGGCCGAAGUUUCGGCCGGUCGCACGGGACGCGUUCGAUCGGGCGGGAUCCACGUGGGCCUUACAAACAGCCCAUCCUUAUCUUCAUCUGGAACCACUUCUAUCCUCUCGUUUCUUCUUCCACGAAGCGGCCAUGCCCGAGCAAAUCCCCUCCUCUUUCUCCUCUCUCGGCGAGGCCACAGCAAAUCCCCUGCUCUUUCUCUCCCCCGGCGAGGUCACAACACAAUUGGCGAGAGGGUGGAGCUGCAACGUCUUCCUGGCGACCAGAAGGCAGCUGCAACCAUGGAUUGGGGAGCUGCAAACGAUGCUCAGAAGAGUUGCAUCCGGAGUCUACGGGAGCCCCGACUGCUACGGCGAGCUGCAACCGUGGAUAGCGGGAAGCUGGAAUAGGCAUCCAAAGGAGCUGCAACCGGCGUCCUUGGGAGCUGCAGACGAUGAGCGGCGACUAGCUUCAGGCUAUGGCGGCGGUGCGGCCAUGGAACGGACGACACAGGUGCUGCGAGCUGGAACCGGCGCACGCCGGAGCUGCGGCCACCGCCAUCGGAGCUGUGGCCGCCGCCAUGGGAAGCUACAAGUACGGGACACGUUGCUGCAUGCACGGAACUGGCGAGAAACACAGGAGUCCGACAACGGCGAGGGGCGGCGGCCGGCGGCGAGGGGUGGCGACCGGCGAGAUGAGUCGGGCGGUGCUUCUAGGGCAGGCGCAUCGUUCGUCCACGGCGCGAUGGGGAUGUUUCCUAGAGAAGAAGACACAGGGGAAGAAGGAAAAAGAUCGGGCGGCUCUAAUUUUCUGAAUCGCACGGUGCUGAUGUGACCGGCCCAAAUUUGGGCCGGUGCGCCGGCGCCUAGCACCCGCCUAUUCAAAUCAGGGGAAAUAUGAGUAGAUCAAUCGUAGCACCUUCAGAUUUGGUACAUCUUUUUUAUUAUGUUCAUGUAGUGCUGCUGCUUGCCAUGUCCGACCACCUCCACCAUGCUGGCUUCGGACCACCACUGGAGCACCAAGGGUGGUGCCCUCGAGUAGUUACGGGACUCGCGGCAGGUGAGGGGAAGGCCGCCGCCGCCGGAUUCGUCAGGAUGGGCGGCGGCGGCGAUAGGGCGAUGCGGCUAGUCGGCAGGAGCAGAAGCAUCCGCCAGAGCUGCCGGUAGGGAGCGGAGGUACGCCGCACUCGGUCCUCCUGCAGCCGCCGUCCGCGACAGUGUCGACACAGGCCCAAGCGCAGCGGUACUUGGGCUUGCCGAUCUCGCGAUCGAUGACGCGCUGCAUCCCCACCACCAGCACAUAGAGGAGGGUAAGGCACGGCUGGCAGAGGUGUCCCGACUGUGACCUGGAUGGGGAUCAGCGGCGGCUCCUGAAUCGGAUGCGCGAUGGCAAGGGAUCCGCGAUGGCAAGGGGUUCGGCAGCGUCAAAUCUUGCCGUCGACGUAGCGACGAGACAGGCGGCAGCGAAGGGUUCGGUGGCGCAGGGAUCAAUGGCGCUUGAUGGGCGAGCGAUGGCGGCGGCGAAGGUGUCCCGACUGUGACCUGGAUGGGAUCGAGGGCAGUCUGAUCGCCUCGCUCGCUCGUGCGUGUGCGAGUCAUCGAUUUUUUUCAUAGGCUUUUUUUCGCUCGCUCCCUCCUAAUUCUGAUCGCCUCGCUCGCUCCUGGAUCGCUCCCUCCUACCGUGGUUUUGAUGUGUUUCUUGUUGGUUCGCGGGUCCAGAGGGAUCGCUGGGACAUGGGAGAUCGGAGGAAGGACGGAAAAACCAGUUGGUGGGAUGAAAUUUAACCACAGAGAUUACCAACUGAUACAUUAGUAGUAGAAGAUAUAGGGUUAAACUUUUAGAACCAUCACUUACAGUUUUCAUGGGACUAAUUUAAAAUUUUAGAAAUUAUGCGGCCCAAUAUUUCUAACAAAAGUAUAGCCCACACGCUACAAAUGGAGCUUCGUUGGACGCAAUCGUUGCUGCGUUGCAGGCUUGCAGCUUUUGUCGCGCUGCACGGUGCACCAUGAGAGCUGCAAUGAAGCUUCGCCACGCUCAAUGCUACGGGCUACGGCGCAUUGCUGCAAUCGUGAAAUCAUCCGGUUAAUUCGGAGCCACCACCUUUUCAAUUCACCUCGAUCGGUAUGCAACAGCGCAAGUAUGUUGCAACGAGGAUGCAUCUCUUAAAAAGCACGUCCAAUGAAACUCAAGGUUUUGUUGCUUUUCGUAUGUUCUUUUUGGUAUGUAUCCAAUGGAACUUAAGGUUUUGUUGCUUUUUGUAUGUUCUUCUUGGUAUGUGCAGGAGUGACUUUGUGCCAGAGGAUGCAGCCAACAACCAGAGAAGAUAUCCAACUAAUCAUUCAUUCUGCUGGUAUAUAAAUUAUGGAACCAAUAAUAAUAAAAGUCUAGGAUUCCUUUAUCUUUCGCAGCCGCCGUCAUUUGUCCGCCUCGUUUCCGAUGGUUCUAUUCUUGGUGGAUUUUCACGGAUCUGAGCGUAGUUUGUUUACUUUCAGAUUGAAUCUUUCAAAUUGAAUCUUUUUAAUCUACGCUACUCUUCAUAAACGACGGUUGCUGUUCUGCUGCGAUUGUCGACGAUUGUUGUUUUGCUGCAAUGGUCUAAUGGGUCCUUAACACUGUCUACUACAACAAGCUUUAACCGACUCCAACAAAGAAGGGACAAUGACGGUGGCGGGCCUUCGUUGCGCUUCAAUUCUUGUCGUCACUAUGUGGUCUAUGAAUAGAUGCAAUUUUUAUUAUUUACGAUGUUCAUUGUAUGAAGAUGUAAAGGUGG
This 2822-nucleotide ribosomal RNA is filed under the name Triticum aestivum (bread wheat). Its description in RNAcentral is "partial small subunit ribosomal RNA". Lineage: Eukaryota; Viridiplantae; Streptophyta; Magnoliopsida; Poales; Poaceae. The record is from RNAcentral.